This 398-nucleotide ribosomal RNA is filed under the name uncultured bacterium. Its description in RNAcentral is "bacterial SSU rRNA". It matches the Rfam family "Bacterial small subunit ribosomal RNA", at positions 30 to 428 of the family's 1533-position model. The record is from RNAcentral.
AUUGAACGCUGGCGGCAUGCCUUACACAUGCAAGUCGAACGGCAGCACGGGAGCAAUCCUGGUGGCGAGUGGCGAACGGGUGAGUAAUAUAUCGGAACGUGCCCAGUCGUGGGGAUAACGUAGCGAAAGCUACGCUAAUACCGCAUACGAUCUAUGGAUGAAAGCGGGGGAUCGCAAGACCUCGCGCGAUUGGAGCGGCCGAUAUCAGAUUAGGUAGUUGGUGAGGUAAAGGCUCACCAAGCCGACGAUCUGUAGCUGGUCUGAGAGGACGACCAGCCACACUGGGACUGAGACACGGCCCAGACUCCUACGGGAGGCAGCAGUGGGGAAUUUUUGGACAAUGGGCGCAAGCCUGAUCCAGCAAUGCCGCGUGCAGGAUGAAGGCCUUCGGGUUGGUU